Molecule: ribosomal RNA, 719 nt
Filed under: Fulvifomes rigidus
Lineage: Eukaryota; Fungi; Basidiomycota; Agaricomycetes; Hymenochaetales; Hymenochaetaceae
Description: eukaryotic LSU rRNA
Rfam family: 5.8S ribosomal RNA (bases 297-450)
Source: RNAcentral
CCGUAAAGCGACUGCGGAGGACAUUAAUGAGUUUUGAAAAUGGGGAGCCUGUUGCUGGUGUGGAAACACGCACUUGUGCACGGCUUUCUGUGCUCAAUCCCACUCAACCCCCUGUGCACCUUAUCGAAGUUUAGUAGUCUCUUAGGAUUACAAGUAGUGAGUAAGGCGAAAGCGGUCUUGUUAGUAGUCUGAAAGCAAAAGUAAGCCUCUAGAGGUGAAAGCUUUGACUUUUAUUACAAAUGCUUUGUAUGUCUUGUGGAAUAUGGGUAUUAGCUCCUUGUGAGCGAAAUAAAUACAACUUUCAACAACGGAUCUCUUGGCUCUCGCAUCGAUGAAGAACGCAGCGAAAUGCGAUAAGUAAUGUGAAUUGCAGAAUUCAGUGAAUCAUCGAAUCUUUGAACGCACCUUGCGCCCUUUGGUAUUCCGAAGGGCAUGCCUGUUUGAGUGUCAUGUUAAUCUCAAACCCCUCUUGUCUUUGUUGACUCGGUCGGUUUGGACUUGGAGGUUGUGCUGGUUGGUAACCUACAUUUUUGUUGUAGGUUUAAUCGGCUCCUCUUAAAUGCAUUAGCUGGACUUUGGUUCGCAUCAAUGGGUGUAAUAGUAAAGUGUUUCACCGGGUGCUUGUCUAAGGAGUCUGCUUCUAAUCGUCCUUUAGGACAAGAUCUUGGCUUUUGACCUCAAAUCAGGUAGGACUACCCGCUGAACUUAAGCAUAUCAAA